UACGAACUGUGCAAACGUUAUUCGGAAUCACUGGGCUUAAAGGGUGCGUAGGCGGCUUGUUAAGUAGGGUGUGAAAUCCCCCGGCUCAACCGGGGAAUUGCGCCCUAAACUGGCGAGCUGGAGUGAGAUAGGGGUGUGUGGAACUUCCGGUGGAGCGGUGAAAUGCGUUGAUAUCGGAAGGAACGCCAGUGGCGAAAGCGACACACUGGGUCUCAACUGACGCUGAGGCACGAAAGCCAGGGGAGCAAACAGG
RNAcentral lists this unclassified non-coding RNA (253 nucleotides) under uncultured Planctomycetales bacterium. Its description in RNAcentral is "contains 16S-23S intergenic spacer region". It matches the Rfam family "Bacterial small subunit ribosomal RNA", at positions 524 to 776 of the family's 1533-position model. Lineage: Bacteria; Pseudomonadati; Planctomycetota; Planctomycetia; Planctomycetales. The record is from RNAcentral.